This 496-nucleotide ribosomal RNA is filed under the name uncultured bacterium. RNAcentral describes it as "partial 16S ribosomal RNA". It matches the Rfam family "Bacterial small subunit ribosomal RNA", at positions 29 to 507 of the family's 1533-position model. The record is from RNAcentral.
AUGAGCGCUGGCGGCGUGCCUAAUACCUGCAAGUCGAGCGCACAGACGAGGAGCUUGCUCCUCUGACGUUAGCGGCGGACGGGUGAGUAACACGUGGAUAACCUACCUAUAAGACUGGGAUAACUUCGGGAAACCGGAGCUAAUACCGGAUAAUAUAUUGAACCGCAUGGUUCAAUAGUGAAAGACGGUUUUGCUGUCACUUAUAGAUGGAUCCGCGCCGCAUUAGCUAGUUGGUAAGGUAACGGCUUACCAAGGCGACGAUGCGUAGCCGACCUGAGAGGGUGAUCGGCCACACUGGAACUGAGACACGGUCCAGACUCCUACGGGAGGCAGCAGUAGGGAAUCUUCCGCAAUGGGCGAAAGCCUGACGGAGCAACGCCGCGUGAGUGAUGAAGGUCUUCGGAUCGUAAAACUCUGUUAUUAGGGAAGAACAAAUGUGUAAGUAACUAUGCACGUCUUGACGGUACCUAAUCAGAAAGCCACGGCUAACUACGUG